CCCGAUCCUUUCCUCGUCGCUCCCUCUUCGUUGAGCUCGCGACGUUGUGGCCUAGCCAACUCGUGCCGCCCGAACUUCUAUCCUCGUCCCGAUUCUCUCCUCUCACCACUGCAUAUCACAUCCUCUCGAUCCCCUCUACCUCUUGCAGUGGUGUUUCCAUCUGGUCUUCGUCACCGACUAGAGGAGUAGCUACCAGCGCCUCUGCGUACCUGAAGCAGCCGUCCACUUCGGUCAUCGGCUCGUAUAUCUCCUCCCUCUCUAUCCGAGCCAUCCCACCCAGGUGAGUUAUCGGCCAAGGGAAGAGGUCUCGAUCUAGCCAUCGAUCCACCCGAUCACCACAAGCACCGAUUGAAUGAUGGUUACCGCUGUCACCAGGAGGGGCAAACGACGCAAGAGAGGUUGAGAUGCUACCCUCCCUCAGCUUGGGGUCCCAAAUCAGAGCGAUGAAUCCUUGGAUUCCCUGCCUCUGUUGUGUUGUUCCUGUCACCGGAGUUGUACCACAACCAUUGUCCCAGCACAUAGUCGCAACUGACAUUGCUACUGGCUCACCAUCGCUGCACUUCUUUCCGAUCACUCACCUUGCCAUCACGGAUGCGUGGCUAAGAUCAUAUGUUUGAUGAAAUGUCUAAUUCCUCUUGAUGUCGCUGUUUGUGUCGUCAAUGUUGUCAUCGACCACCAUCUUUCGUGAGUAGUUGUUGGAUUAAUGAACAACCCUGGAGAAGAAGAGGGAGCCAUAGGAGGGAUGGUGAUUUCAUCUUCUCUGGCAGAGAGUUAUAGCAGCUAUGGUCAUUAGCUGGGCCAUCAAUUCCGGAUGUUGAUUCGAGAUAGCAUCUCGGUAUGGGAUUAUUUAGCAUGAUCAUUAGAUAAAGGCGGGUACUUCUUGCUUUAUCAAUUUAGUACAUUGAUCUUAGUGCAUGAGCUAAAAAAUUCAAAUAGUUACUGUGUUCAUCUUGACUCCACUCGUAUUUUUCUUGUACUUGAAGCUUAUCCACUUGAUCUUUGAGCUACUCAUUUCUGUAUCUAUACAGUCUCUCGUUGCUAUCUAUGAUAUUUAGAAAAUACCAUAUACCUGAUACUAGAUAUUAUAUACUGGAUACCAGAUACUAGGUAGUAGAUAUUGGUUAUAUGGAUACUGGAUACCAUGUUUACUUGUUUUGGAUGUUGUAUGUUUACAUACCUUACUAAGCAUGCUGGCUUCAUGUAGCAU
Molecule: long non-coding RNA, 1207 nt
Organism: Zingiber officinale
Lineage: Eukaryota; Viridiplantae; Streptophyta; Magnoliopsida; Zingiberales; Zingiberaceae
Exons: 4
Source: RefSeq, a predicted model, not a curated record